UUCUAAAAUCUAUGGAGUGUGGAACACCAAAAGGCAAAAUUUUCAACAAAGGGAUAAGAGAGGACAAAACCCUAAAGGCCAAAUUCUCAACAAAGGAAGAGGACAGAGUAAAAAUGGCACGAGAAAGAAGAUAAGAUGUAGAAAUGAUGAUUAAAGAAAGUAUUUCAAGUGUUCAUUUUUUUAGCUGCAUGAUUAUAAUAAAGCAUCAUGCCUAAAUUUGACUAAGGCAUCGAGUAAAUUAUUCUUUAGUUUAUGGGAUUUGAGCACUAUCAUGGCAUGGCUUCUUCGAUUAUUGUUAACUUAGCAGCAUGUUUUCAACACUCCUCGGCUUGGUCCAAACCAAGACUGCAAUUUCAGAAUUUCCUUGUCGAAUGGCCUGUUCUUCUGUCCUAUUAAAAACAUAUCUUCUUUUUUCUCUAAAUUAUAUUCUCGCUAUGUUUGAUUUUAUUCAUGAAUUCAAAUGGAUUAGGGAAAAACCAACACGGCUAGAGGGUAAGGUGGCAUUAAUCACUGGAGGGUCUAGUUGCAUAGGAGAGUCCACUGCCAGACUGUUCGCCAAACAUGGAGCUAAAGUGGUGAUUGCAGACGUUCAAGAUGUACUAGGCCACUCUGUUUGCGAAGAAUUGAAGAUUGAAUCAGCCUCAUUCGUCCACUGUGACGUUACUCGAGAAAAAGAUGUUGAAAAUACUGUUAACACAGCUGUUGUUGAAAAUAAACUAGAUUUUUUGUUCUUUAAAAUCAAGAUGAACAGUUGAGUCGGCAAAAUUACUUUCUAGUUAGAAUAAAUUUCUUGUUUGGUUCGAUUUUUUAUUUGCUUAGGACUUUAACUUGUAAUCAUAUUCAUAAUAUAGGCUGUUUCGUGUCCUUUAGGUUACUA
This is a long non-coding RNA of Populus trichocarpa (black cottonwood), 877 nucleotides long. RefSeq lists it as uncharacterized. The record is from RefSeq and is a predicted model, not a curated record. Lineage: Eukaryota; Viridiplantae; Streptophyta; Magnoliopsida; Malpighiales; Salicaceae. The transcript has 2 exons.